RNAcentral lists this long non-coding RNA (13808 nucleotides) under Coffea arabica (coffee). RNAcentral describes it as "long non-coding RNA (CARA_LNC004679)". The record is from RNAcentral. Lineage: Eukaryota; Viridiplantae; Streptophyta; Magnoliopsida; Gentianales; Rubiaceae.
GAUCCCCGACUUCCAACUCCUAUAAGGAAAACAAAGCUAAAAGGGCUGAGCUAAUGCUCAGUGAGAUUUGCCGAGCAAGUAACAUUUAAUAAACGCUUAAAUCAGUACAAUUAAGCAAGUAGUGCACAUUUCACUGUACAAUCACUUUCAUUAAGCAAUUGAGGAAACGCUUCACUGAACAAUCAUUUUUAAAAGGAUACGGUGCUCGCAUUAGAGCCACUUCAAUGCACUACACACUCCACCGAACUCCUCCUUAUAACCUCCAAAACAAUAAACACUUCCCUCACUUAGAUGGCCAUAUCAAUAUUAAUAAUAUGCUACUCUGUGGUAAUACUCGAGUAUACUGAAACACUUACUCAAAGCUACCCUCCUACUCAACCAAGCCCUUUGCUGGCUCGAAUAGUUCAUUGAACAGAGGGUUUUGGGGCCUAAUUCAGCCAGUGUGAUAAAGUACACACACAGCUUACAGUCAUGCACACUUACAAUAUCACUUGAUCAGUAUCAACCUUCAAGCUCAACUAAGGUGAGUACGAUAAAGUACACUCUCGACUUAAAAGGCGAGGGACAAUUGAGAUACACUUUGCAAUGAAUCACUUAGCAAUAUUUCAUAAUAAGUACAUUUAUCACAUGAUUUCACUCAAGUACACUUAAACAGUUAAACAGGUAAAUUCGGAAGCACUCAUCAAAUAGCCUCGCGUUUGUUUCCUGGCUCACAGCUACUUCCUGGGGCAAUUUAAUAAGUUCAAAGUAAAUAUAUAAUUUGUAGGUGAUCACUUAUCAUUCUUACUUUAUUAUCUAAACUAUUAAAAUCAAGUUUGACCUUAAAAUACAAUUAUAUUCUUUAUUUACCAUUUAUCCUACAUUGUAUUUCGAAACCUAUUAAUUUUAUCAUUUAAACCAAGAAUUAUACAUAUGUUCUAAGGUUAUAGUUUUUAUAGGUAUUUAAAUUAGCUGUAACCUAUUUUCCACCUAAAAUCUUAAGAUGCAAGCUUAGAAACACUCCAUCGGUUCUCCUUUUAUCUAGCCAAAGUCUAAAUUGUGUGUACUUUAAAUUUUAUUUCACUACACUAGCCUCUAAGUUUUAUAGUCUUUAAAAUACUUGUAAAGACAAGCUUAAGUGAUUAUAAGCCAUUUUAGAAAUCAAAGUUCAAAGUUGAUAAAUUUUUUAGAAGUUGGCAACUUAGUAUUCCUAUGAACUUCCUUGAUUAUAUCCUGUAUUUUGAAUGAAUUUUCACAAGUAAAAUUAUUAUAAGGUGGUUUGAAGGGGUUUUGAUCAGUUUUGGUUCAAGUUCGACUUUUAGAAUUCAAGUAAAAUUCAAAAUUUAAGCACUUGUUUAAGAAUGGUUCAAAACAGCUUUUCAGCAAUAGGUAGUCAAGUUUCUUCCUUUAGUUUGCUAUUUUCUUGCUUAAACUUCCUCAAUUCAAGGUACAUUUUACUAUCAUUCUGUUAUAGGUCGUUUUUGGUUAAGGCUUAGCUAAAAUUUUCAGAAAAACUCAACAAUACAAUCGAAAUCAUCCAAUCAACCCAAUCUACCAAAACAGUUCUGCAUGCUUGAUUAGCUCCCCUUUUCUUUCUCUAAGAUUCAAUUAUUUCCUCUCAAAUCAGGACAAUCACAAUAUUCAGAGUAAAACAGAGGAGUAGGGAUGUUUUUAUCAAUAUAUGCAUAUAUUCCAGGUUACAAGAUGAAAUCUAAGUUUGAGAAAACACAAGAGCAUUCUUGGUUCAAAUCCGGGAUUUCCAGCCAUAUAUCUUUACCAAAAUUUCAUUUAAUGCAUCAAACAUUAACCAAAUUUGACAUGCAUUCAUCAUUGAACAUAAUAUAUAAUCCCUAGUAGGAUUUCCAUCAAGAAAUUCACCAAAAUCAACAUUUAAAAGCUAUCUAACUAUCCAAGUUUCAACAUAAGCAAAGCUGGAAGGAAAUCCAGCAAACAUUCGGUCCAAGUGAGGGAUUUUCCCAACAAAUUUCAUCAAAUCCAUCCCAAAUCGACAUGCAAUCUCAUAACCACUGAAAUGAGAACAUGUAACUUCUAAAUCGAGCAAAAUUUUGGAGAAAAGAGCCAAAAAUUGCAGCUUUUCUUUCGUUCUGUUGUCAAGAAAAUUUUCCAGCUGAAGAAGCACUGAACUUCCCCGGACCGAGCUGACCUGAUGAGCUCGGUGCGCUGAUGAGGAGCUCGUGUCCCAAGCCUGCAAAACAAUCGAGAGGGUGAUCUGAUAGGAGAGCCCCGAGGACACUCCGACGAUCAAGUUAGUUUUCCGGUGGGUGAGAUUCACGGGAAGUAAAGCAGUCGGGAGUAAUUGGCGUAUGGUGAGCGUACCUUAUGCAGUUGAUGUGUGUUACCAUUUAUACCUGCUUGGGAGUCCGACCUGCCCAGAAUAGCCUCCAUCCCGCACUGAGGGGGAGCAAUCCCGACCUAGGCGGGAUGGUUCUCUGGAGCCCCUUGGAACCCUAGCGGCGGGGGGUCGCUUGGACAGUUCCCGUGGGCCUGAGGGUCUAAGCCCAGCUCAGGCACCCCUGGGCUGCCACGUGUGUGGGCCCAGGACGGGGCCUUUGCACUAGCCCCCUAGAUUAGGUAGGGCUUCCAGGCCGACCUGAUCUACAUCCUUGCCACGUGGGAGCCCAGUUUCGCACCGCACUGCCGCGGUCACCUCCGGCACAGUGCUGUCAUUGGAAAGCUGCGCCCGCGUCCUUUCAGAUGUCGCGUCCCCUUGGUCUCCGUACCGCUCUUAAAUGCGUUCACAUGGGGCGGUUCAAAUUCAAGCAACCGUUUUCCCCCCAUUCCAUUCCCUAUAAAUAGGGAUUCCCCAACUUUCUCAGACUCUAUUUGCCAUUUUUCCUCCCUUCGUGCAUUUUCAAUUCCCAGCAACAAGACUUCCGGCUUCCAGCACCCAGAUUCCGGCGACUCCUUCAUCCUUUUUUCCACCCCACUUACCAGUAAGUCUUCUUUUUCUCCUCCUUCGCAUUUUCUUUUCCUCCUUUGCCAUUUUCUGCAUUUUAUGUCGGAUCGCUCCGGCGUUGCUUCCACCGCCUCCCAAAUUCCGACCCGUCGUAGAGCCCCCAGAAUCCUCAUUUCUUCUUCAUCUCCGUCCUCAUCUUCAUCUUCACCUUCUCCUCCCCCUUUCUCUUCUUCCUCUGCUUCCAAUCCCAACUUCUUCAUCCCUGACUUGUUCGAACCCAUUGACAUCAUGAGCUCUCCAUCUGCCCAUUCUCCUUCUGCCCGAUUCCAGGAGGAGGUGACCGAGCUUGAUGCCCUCAUCGAGCAGCAAGCCACUUCUAACCCCUCCCCCAAGUCUCCACAUGACUCCCCUGGCGGAGCCUAGGGGAGAGCUGGGGAGGACAGGGACUCCUCCGAGGGGACCCCCGCUUCCGAGCAGGGGGAUGAUUCUGAGUUCAACUACGGUCACCCCGACCGGGAGGAGGUCACCCUCUCACCCGGGGCGGUGGCCGAGCUGGCUGGGUCUUUUUCCAUCCCUCCGGCCUUCGAGCCGCGAGCCGCCGGACCCACCGAUCGAGUCUGCCGACCUCCCCCUGGCUUUGUAGCCAUUUACAGGGAGCAGCUGCUCGCUGGGCUCCGGCUCCCCAUUCCUCCAGCCUUGGCGGAGAUCCUGAGCUACUGGGGGCUCCGGAUCACCCAAGUCCAUUCCAACUCGAUCAGGAUCAUCAUUGGAUUCCUGAUCUACUACCAAAUCUGCUCCAUCCCCUACUCACUUUCCCUCUUCCGGGCCUCUUACAUCCUCAAGCUAUCCCUCCCUGGGUGGUACUACUUCUCCAGCCGAGGGACUAGCCAAGUCCGGGGGGGAAAGGGCACCCAGGAUCUAUUCUAUGGGGUCCCCUCUUCCAUAAAAAAUAGGAAAGGGGACUUCCUCUUUGUAAAAUUCACGAGCUUUCCCCCGAGCGUGUGGAAGGUCGGGGAGGUCGACUCCGACCCCUAUCCGGAGGACCUGGACCCCGAGGCCCUCGGCCAGCUGAUGAGCUCCAAGGUGAAACUCUUCGCCGCCAAGUUCUCCACCGAGCAGAUCUCUGCGGCCGGGCUGAUGGGGACGUUGUCCGGGUCCCCUGGAGAGGUGGUGGCCUCCCCUACUGACCCUAAAGCUUGUAACGCCGACUCUGUCCCUGUAGCUCGUUGUAUUUGCAUAUAUACUGCAUUUCUUUCCUACUGACUUUGCUUUGGCUGACCUGGCUAUGUUUGUCGCAGUGAGGAAGCUCUCCAGGCUACUGGGCGGGACAAUCGAGGAGGCAGCUCCCACCAAGCAGCUUGAGGCAGCGAAGAAGGCCUCCGAGGCCUCUCCGACCCCUGGGGGAAGUUCGGCCCCCCAGAAAGAGGCCUCCCAGUCUCAGUCCCCCUCCAAACAGGCCGCCGCCAAAAAGAAUGCGCCAGGGCAGAAGAGGGGCCGAGAGGACGAGCCUUCCCAGCCCGGGAAGAAGCCAACGCCAGCCCCAGCACAGCGCCCUCUCCUGUUGACGUCGGGGGGCCCUGUCCACUUGGGGGUUGGCUCCGCGGAAGAGCACGCUCGGGAGAGCGCUCCCCCGAGCUUGUGGCAGUUCUGCUACGUGGCCCCCACGAAGCCGGGGCAAGCCCCCACCAUGCACGACCCCUGCCACUUCUACCCGUCCUGGGAGCUCUCCAUCAAUGACCGGGCCCUAUUCCCUGAGGUGGCUCGCGAGCUGGUCACGGGCUUAGUCCUUCCACGCGACAGAAAGUGGAUGGAACUGGCCAGCCCGUCCGAGCUCCAGGACGUGCACUGUAUCACCCAAGCCCAAGUAAGCCCCUUUUCCGCUUAGGCCCCUUGGGUCACUGUUCUUUCCCUUGAUGAAGUGCUCAUGUUUACUUUCUUUUCCUUAGGCCAGCGCAGCCGAUGCUGCCCUGGGGACCCGCUUCUCCGAACUGUCUCCUGAUUUAGAGAAGUUGCAGAAGAAGCAUCGGGAGACCGAGCAGAAGCUUGCCCAGGCCCUUAAGGGGGCGGACUCCCUUAAGGUCAAACUGGGCAAGGCCGAGAAGGGGCUGGAGGAGGCCAAGUUCCAGCUUGCCGCCACCCGGUCCGAGCUGGACCAGGAGAAGAAGGGCGUGGCGAAGUUGAGGGAGGACCACGCCAUUGAGCUCUUCGGCACCAUCAGCCGGGAGCGCAAGAAGGCUGUUCGGGAGUUCAUCUCCUCUGACCAGUUCGCCGAGGACGUGGCCUUCCUCAACCAGCCCAUCCUCCAGGUCGGCGUCACGCGGGCUCUGGACCAGGUGAAGGGCCUCAACCUGCCCGGCUUCAACUUGGCUGACUUCAAGGACUACAACCCCGCAGCCGAGGGGAAGCUGGACUGGCUGUUCGACGGGUACUGCAAAAGGCAUGCCCUGAAGGAUCUAGUGGGCAGGAGCGAUGUGGGGACCGAGCUGGCGGAACUUCCCCUGGAGGAGGAGGAGGCUCCUGGCAGGGCUUCCAGGAAGGAGCCAGUGGCUUAGGGCAGCGGCCACUCCAGAAACCCUUUCCAUCCUCUUAUAAGGAUGUGGCCAUGCCCCGCAGUUCAUGAUCCCCACAGAUCCUUUUUAACAGCCUUCUCCACCUCCCAACAUGCUUAAGGUGUACCUUCAGCUCCUGCCUCAAGCAGGCCGCCAGCAAGAUGAAAGCAUACCCUUCACCAUACGCCUCUCAACAUGCUUAAGGUGUACCUUCAUCUCCUGCCUCAAGCAGGUCGCCAGCAAGAUGAAAGCAUAGCUAGGUUCCCCUUCCUUGUGUAGCUCGGUAGGCUUUGUAAUAGAUAGGGUCUGAAUGAAUAUAUGAGAUGAAGUUUGAAUGGGGCUAUCUGAUAUGCCUUUCAAUUCCUUAUUCGCAGCGAACUCUAGUAACCGAAAAGGGAUACCGACCUCCCGGGUCGAGCUCCAAAUAGGUCCACCAAGGCGGCGUGCCGACCUCUUGGAUCGAGCAUCUAUCGCCCUUUAAGCUAACGACUAAGUGUCAGGGACACCAAACCAUCAAACCAUCAGGCUGAUUUAGUAAUCGAAUUCUAAUAACCGGAGUGACGCGCCGACCUCCUGGGCCGAACACCACACCUCUAGGCUUUAAGUUACGCCGACCUCCUGGAUCGAACGUCGGUCCUGAGUCACUGGAGCAGCGUGCCGGCCUCUUGGGUCGAGCAUCCGCCUAACCAUAAGCCAACAAACAGUUUGCCAAAGGGCAGCAAACUGGGGUCCCAUCAGACGACCAAGCUAAACUAACAACCAAAUUCCAACAGCCUGGGCGGCGUGCCGACCUCCUGGGCCGAGUACCGGACCCAAGGCUCUUUUUAAGCUGCGCCGACCUCCUGGGUCGAGCGGCAAACUUCUAAAGCCAGCCCUGCAGACCUCCUGGGUCGAGCAUCAAUUCUCACACUCCAAAGGCCUUCCACUGAUUCAUCAUCUAAAUUCGUCCCUUAGCCAACGACCUUCUGGGUCGAGCACCAAAAUUGGAAAGACAAUCGUGCCGACCUCCUGGGUCGAGCGCCGAUUUCUCAGAUUUGAAAGGCAUUCCAUCCGUUAGCAUUCAUGCCGACCUCCUGGGUCGAGCGUCAAAUUUGAAGGUAAUCAUGCCAACCUCCUGGGUCGAGCGUCGAUUUCUCAGAUUUGAAGGGCAUUCCAUCCGUUAGCAUUCAUGCCGACCUCCUGGGUCGAGCGUCAAAUUUGAAGGUAAUCAUGCCAACCUCUUGGGUCGAGCGUCGAUUUCGUAAAAAUUCUAAAGAUAAUCGUGCCGACCUCCUGGGUCGAGCGUCGAUCUCUCAGGGCCCCCCACUAGGACACUUAUCAUUAUCUGAGUGUGCUAGUGUAGAAGUGAAAAGUUAAACGACAUUGAUAAUGAGAAUGGACUUAAAUUGGAAAGCCGAACAUUUAUUUAAUGAUGAACUGGUACAAAGGUUCCAAAGAAUACAGGAAGAUACCCUGGACCAAUCUAUUCUACAAACAACCGCAAAUUCGAGAAGUGCCAAGUGCGGGGUACCUCUUCACCAUCUAAUUUGGCAAGCUUACAGUACCUAGCCCGGCUCGCUUCGAGGACCCUGUACGGCCCCUCCCAGUUCGGACCGAGCUUGUUGGAGCUCUGAGCUCGGCUGACUGAGUUCUUUCUUAGGACGAGGUCUCUCGGCUGGUACUGCGUAUUCCUCACCCUCGCGUUAUGAUAGCGGGCGAGUUGGCUUUUAUACUUAGCCAUCCGUAUCGCCGUUUCCUCACGCGUAGCCUCCAGCAUGUCUAAGUUGCACCUCAGUUCUUCUUCGUUGGCUAACGCCACGAAGUUCUGUGUCCGAGGCGAGGGGAGACCGACCUCCGCGAGCACCACCGCCUCCGCCCCGUAAGUCAGGGAGAACGGGGUCUCCUGAGUGGCUGUCCUUGGCGUAGUGCGGUAAGCCCAGAGGACGCUAAGGAUUCAUCUAGCCAGUUAGACUGGGCUAGUUCCAACCUAGUCUUAAGUCCUUGCAGAAUGGUUCGAUUAGCAUUCUCUGCCUGACCGUUGGCCUGAGGAUGUCCAACCGAUGUGAAGUGUUGGCUAAUCCCGAGCUCGGCGCACCAGCUCCUGAAGGGAUUUUCAGCAAACUGUCGCCCGUUGUCGGAUAUCAAGACAUGCGGGAUCCCGAAGCGGCAGACUAUGUUUUUCCAGAAGAACUUUUGAAUCGCCCUUCCGAAAAUAGUGGCCAGGGGUUCGGCCUCCAUCCACUUUGUGAAAUAGUCGAUGGCUACCACGAGGUGUUCGUACCUUCCAGGAGCUCGGGGGAGGUCAAUCCCCCACUGGGCAAAAGGCCAAGGACUGUGGAUGGGGAUCAUCUCCCGAGUAGGUUGGUGGCGUAACGGGGCGUGCACCUGGCAGACCCGGCAUUUCUGAACAAGAGCUGCGGCAUCCCGAAACACCGAGGGCCAGUAGUAGUCUAGGAGCAGACAUUUUUUGGCCAACACCCGGGACCCCCAAUGUGCCGCGCACAGUCCUUCGUGAACCUCUCGGAGGACAUAGUCACCCUCCUCGGGAGUUACGCACUUUAGUCAGGGGAUAAGUACGACCUCCUGUAGAGGGUCCCCCCAGCGUAGGCGUACCUUGCAGCCCUGAGCUGGAGUCGGCGAACCUCGGUAUUGUUCACUGGGAGGGCACCCGAGCUGAGGAAGUCUACGAGGGGAGUCAUCCAAGUGGCCGGGCUGUCUAUAGCCAGAACCUGGACCUGGCCAAUGCUCUUCUGCUUAACUACCUCCACUAAGACUUCCUUGCUCAGGUGGGCAAACGAGGAGGACGCCAGUUUCGACAGAGCGUCCGCUCGCUUGUUUUGUGACCUUGGUACCCGUUCGAUCUCGAAGAGGUCGAACAACUUUAUCGCCUCCUGCACCUUAGCCAAAUACUUUUUCAUGACCUCUUCCUUGGUCUCGUACUCCCCGCGGACUUGGUAGACUACGAGUUGAGAAUCGCUCCGUACUCUGAUCGCGGUUAUAUCCAUCUGGUGGGCUAUCCGUAACCCAGUCAAUAGCGCUUCGUAUUCAGCCUCAUUGUUGGAUGCUGGGAUGUCAAAUCUGAGAGCAUAUGUCAGUUCCUCCCCGGUGGGCGAGGUAAGCAGUAAGCCAGCUCUGCUCCCUUCCUUAAUCGAGACCCCGUCUAUGAAUAGUACCCACGGCUUUUCCGGCCGUGCCUCCUUGGCCAAAGAGCUCGGUUCAGUCACUGACAAACUGGCUCCCUCGGGGAGGAAGUCUGCCCGGGCCUGAGCUUUGAUAGCGGUGCGAGGCUGAUAGCCGAUGUCGUGCACGGCUAUUUCGACGGUCCAUUUGGUCAUUCUGCCCGAGACCUCCGAUUUUGUGAGUAUCUGCGGCAAGGGUUGAUCUGUAAGGACGGUAAUGCUGUGGGCUUGGAAAUAAGGUCGGAGCUUCCGGGCAGCGUGCACCAAGGCGAGGACCAAUUUUUCCGCCGGCGUGUACCGCGUCUCCGGCCCUUGUAAAGCUCGGCUAACAUAGUAUAUUGGCCGUUGAGCCCCCCUGUCCUCCCGCACCAAAACCGCGCUAACGGCCUCGUUGCAAGCAGACAAGUAUAGGAACAGGGUCUCUCCCUGCUCCGGGGCGGUCAGAGCUGGCAGCCCGGCCAAGUAUGCUUUUAGGUCGGUGAAGGAUGUUUGGCACUCCUCCUUCCAUUGGAAGUCCUUUGGUGCUUUCAGGAUUCGAAAGAAGGGCAACCCCCUCACCGCGGAGCGCGAGAGGAACCUGUUCAGGGCAGCCAUUCUCCCCGCGAGCCGUUGGACCUCCUUGACGCUCCUCGGGGGGGGGCAUGUCCAUGAUGGCCUGGAGCUUAUCCGGGUUGGCCCGGAUCCCCUCUCGGGAGACCAGGAAGCCCAGGAACUUUUCCGACCUGACCCCAAAAGUACAUUUCUUUGGGUUCAGUCGCAUCCGACUUUCCCGCAGAAUGUUCAAGAUUCCCCUAAGGUCGGGGACGAGCUGCCGACCAGUCCGGCUCUUGACGAUCAUAUCGUCCACGUAGACCACCAUACUCUUGCCGAUCUGAUCCUGGAACAGUUUGUUGACCAGACGUUGGUAGGUAGCUCCAGCGUUUUUUAUCUCAAACGGCAUGGUGCGGUAGCCGUAAGUUCCUUCCUCGAUGAUGAAGGAGGUCUUCUCCCGGUCUUCUUCGGCCAUUUCUAUCUGGUGGUAUCCCUUGAAAGCAUCCAGGAAACACAAAACGUCAAAACCAACAGUAGAGUCUACUAACCUGUCGAUCCUCGGCGGGGGGAAACAGUCCUUCGGGCAGGCUUUAUUGAGAUACGUGAAGUCCACGCACAUCCUCCAGGACUGGUUCUCCUUCUUCACCAGAACGGGGUUGGCUGACCAGGUCGGGUAGUACACCUCCAGGAUGAUUUUGGAUUCCAACAACUUGCCCACCUCCUUCCGGAUCACCUCAUUCCUCUCUGGGGCGAAACUCCUCUUCUUCUGCUUCACUGGCUUGAAGCUGGGGUCUACGUUGAGGUGGUGGACAGCCAGGUCGGUAGGAAUCCCAGGCAUGUCCUCUACCGUCCACACGAAGACCUGGGCGUACUCCCUUAGUAGGGGCUUCAAGCCCUCCUUUUCUUCGGGGGGUAGCGACGCACCGACGCGGAGGACCUGGUCAGGCAUGUCCUCUCUCAAUGGGAACUCCUCGAUCUGGUCCUGGGUGCCCAGCUGCCGGGCCUCCUCCCCAGGGAAGUAAGGCUCCAAACUAGUUGUCUGGGCGACCACCUUCUCCUGUCCCCGGAGCACGGCCAGGUAGCAAGCUCUGGCCACCUCUGGAUCCCCAUGCACCUCAACUAUUCCUCCCGAGAUGGGGAAUUUGACGCUGAGGUGCAGAGACGAGGGGAUAACUCGUAGGGCAUUCAAGGCGGGCCGUCCCAAGAACACGUUGUACGGGGAUUGUUGUUUGACCACCACGAAGUUGACGGGGAUGGUCCGGCAUUUGGGCGCCUGCCCUACCGUGACCAUCAGUGUGAUCAUCCCCUCCGGAGUGAUGGGCGGUCCGGUGAAACCCACCAGGGGUGUCCGAACCGGGGUUAGCUUUCCAUCCUCCAAGCCGAGCUCCUUGAACACCCGGUAAAACAUGAUGUCCACCGCGCUCCCCUGGUCAACGUACACUUUUUUCACCCGGUAGUUAUUAGUCAUGACGUCUAUCACGAUGGCCUCGUGGUUUCCAGACGCCAGGGGAACCGCGUCCCUUGGUCCGAAGGUGAUUUCUUCGUCCAUACGCAGGCGCUUCAAGGAGUCAUCCCCCUCCGGAGGAGGUCGCCUGUUCUUCCGAGCUGUAUGGCUGUCCCCUCCCGCGGGACCCCCAGCGAUGGUGUUUAUUACCCCUGCCAAGUUCUGGGUGUCUUGGUCGGGGGAGUGGGCCCGAGGGACGUCACGCCGCUCGGGGCGGUCGCGACGCUGGCCCUCUCCCCUGUCUCCGCGGUAGGUGUGCCCCGACUCCUGGCCUGGUCGACCUUGCUGCAUGAAUCGCCCCAGGAAGCCGCGCUGGAUCAAAUCCUCUAUCUCCUUUCGUAGGACCCAGCACCCCUCCGUAUCAUGCCCAACAUCACGGUGGAAGGCACAGUACCGGUCCUGGUUCCUCUUGUUCCGGGAUGUCCCCAUCUUAGGGGGCCGCCCCACUAGGCCCUCCGCCUCCAUAACGGCCAGAACUUGGGCUCUGGGCCGAAUUAGGGGGGUGUAGCCUUUUUCUGGAAGCGGCGGGCGAGCGGGGGCUUUAUCCUUCGCGAGCCGGUCGAACACAUUCUUCUUGGCCGGGCCGUCCUUAUUCUCGGACGGGUUUACCCGUUCUCUCCGAUCUCCGAGCUCCCGAUCUGACUCUCUCUUCAGGCGUGCAGCCUCCUCCGCAUUAGCGGCUGCGUGCGCCCUAGUCAAGAGCUCUUCCAGGUCUCCGGGAGGCUUCUCGGCGAGCUUGAGAAAGAGUUUUUCCACCCCGAGCCCGUUCAUGAAGGCGGCCAUGACCACCUUUUCAUCCUUGUCCCUGAUCUGCAAGCUCUCCGUGUUGAAGCGGGUCAUGAAGUUCCUCAGGGACUCGUCCGGCUUCUGCCUGAUUGCCAUCAGAUGAGUCGCAUUUUUCGAGUAAGUCUUCGAGGAGACAAACUGGGCGGAGAACUGCCUAGCCAGCUCGGGAAAACUUCGAAUGGACCCCGGCGCCAGAUCUUGGAACCAGAGCCGGGCCUUUCCCUUCAGGAACAUGGGGAAGGUUUUGCAGCAGAGCCCAUCCGCGGCGAUUUGCAGGCGCAUAUGCGUCAGGAAGACCGAAAGGUGAUCCUCCGGAUCGGUCGAGCCAUCGUACAGUUCGAUAUUCGGGAUCUUGAACCUCCGGGGUAGUGGGUAGUCCUCUAUUUCCCGGGUAAAGGGCGAGGUGGUGUAGUUGUCCUCGUACAACUGCGGCCGCAAGAUCUGCUCAAGCUCGUCCCGGACAGGCCUCCACUGGGGGUGGUCCCGUGGCCGACUCUUGAUAGAUCGGGCGGGGGAGCGCUCAGGCUCCUUCCGCGCAAGCUUCCACGAUGAGAGAUUCCUUGGUCGGCCCCCAGCGGACCGAUCGCGAGAGUACCCCUCGCUGUCCCCGAUCACCGAGGCCCGCGGCCGAGGGAGAGUUCGUUGUCGUUUCCUCCUGGGAGGCUGGUCCCGUGACUCAUCCUCCGAGGGAACGGGAGGUGAUUCCCUCUCCUUCCCCUUCGCCUUGGAGGUUUGGGCGCCCCCGGCUUCACCCCCCUCCUUUGCUUGCCGAAUUAUGUCUUCUAGCAUGGGAAGGUUCUCCGUCACGAACUGAAAAAUCUGCUGUCUCCGUUCCCCUGAAAGGGCUGAGGCCCCGGCGCCCCGAGCCGCCUCGGUCUCCACCCGCCGGGACCCCUCGUCGGCUCCGGGACCCCGAGCCGCCUACGGUUCGCUUUGAACGCGUUCUCGCCAUCAACACAACUACUCGUACCUUUCUUCGUUCCCACAGACGGCGCCAACUGAAGAAACACUGAACUUCCCCAGACCGAGCUGACCUGAUGAGCUCGGCGCGCUGAUGAGGAGCGCAUGUCCCAAGCCUGCAAAACAAGCGAGAGGGUGAUCUGACAGGGGAGCCCCGAGGUCGUCCCCGAGGGCACUCUGACGAUCAAGUUAGUUUUCCGGUGGGUGAGAUUCACGGGAAGUAAAGCAGUCGGGAGUAAUUGGCGUAUGGUGAGCGUACCUUGUGCAGUUGAUGUGUGUUACCAUUUAUACCUGCUUGGGAGUCCGACCUCCGUACGUUUCGGGACCUGCCCAGAAUAGCCUCCAUCCCGCACUGAGGGGGAGCAAUCCCGACCUAGGCGGGAUAGUUCUCUGGAGCCCCUUGGAGCCCUAGCGGCGGGGGGUCGCGUGGACGGUUCCCGUGGGCCUGAGGGUCUAAGCCCAGCUCAGGGACCCCUGGGCUGCCACGUGUGUGGGCCCAGGACGGGGCCUCUGCACCAGCCUUGCUUUUGCUCACAUAUCGAUCUUUUCCUUGCUUUAACCUCUUAAAAGUCACAUGCAUGUUAAGGUUAAUGUGUUAUAAGGUGUUUUGAACUACCGUAUGAAAGCUUGCAGCCAAAUUCAUAGAGAAAAACUGAAAAUUUCUUCCUUUCGCUCUCUCGGACAUGUCAUCAAAUUUCUAGCAGCUUCUUUCAAUAAUUUCAGCCAAGUUUGUCAAUGAUUCACUAGUUUCAAAACAAAUAUCUUAUAAGCCAUGAGAUUAAACAUAUAUCAUACAUUUUUAGUGAAAUUUCCUCCAAGUUUUCGAAUGAACAGUUGUGAACUUCAACUCUCCUACCAUUGGCCAAGUCAAACUUUCCAGAAACGAAUCAGUUUUCACACAAGAUUUCCUUCAGCAAAACUCAUUUUUCUUGGCUAAAAACUAUCAUGCAACAUGAGAAAUCAAGAGUGCUAGAAGAUUGAGAGGUUUAUUACAAUGUUACCUCCCUUUUGCAGACAAUCUCAGCUGGAAAAAUGUGGACAGUUUCCUCCCUCUGCUCCUCAAAGAAUCGCACCAGAUUUCUCUCUUCUUGCUCCCCCCACUGCCUCUAGUUUGCACGCCAAACAGCUGCAGUCCUUCCCCCCUCUCAACUCUCCGUUGGUUGGCGUGGUAAUAGGAAAUGAUUCACUCUUUCUCCCUUACUCUCUCUUGGGUGCAGACUUGGAGCAAUGAAGAACCAGAAAUGUUUCUCACUCGGUGGUGUUUUGGAAUGAAUGGUUAUGACCGAAACUCUCUCUCUCUCUCGGUUCUGUUUCUACUGCUUGGUUGAUAAGAAGAGAAUUCGACUUAUUUCCUUCACUCAGCCGACCACUCAAGCUUCCUCAUUCGGUGCUAAUCAAUCCAAACUCUCAUUCGGUCACUGCCU